AACGGUCGUUUUCUAUGGAAGCUUGCUUCCACUGAGAAGAUAGUGGCGAACGGGUGAGUAACACGUGGGUAACCUGCCCAUAAGAGGGGAUAACAUCCGGAAACGGGUGCUAAUACCGCAUAGUUUUCUUGAUCGCAUGAUUGAGAAAGGAAAGACGGCCUUUGUGCUGUCGCUUAUGGAUGGACCCGCGGCGUAUUAGUUAGUUGGUGAGGUAACGGCUCACCAAGACGAUGAUACGUAGCCGACCUGAGAGGGUGAUCGGCCACAUUGGGACUGAGACACGGCCCAAACUCCUACGGGAGGCAGCAGUAGGGAAUCUUCCGCAAUGGACGAAAGUCUGACGGAGCAACGCCGCGUGAGUGAAGAAAAGGUUUUCGGAUCGUAAAACUCUGUUGUCAGAGAAGAACAAGUUGGAGAGUAACUGCUCCAGCCUUGACGGUAUCUGACCAGAAAGCCACGGCUAACUACGUGCCAGCCGCAGC
RNAcentral lists this ribosomal RNA (482 nucleotides) under uncultured bacterium. RNAcentral's name for it is "bacterial SSU rRNA". It matches the Rfam family "Bacterial small subunit ribosomal RNA", at positions 65 to 518 of the family's 1533-position model. The record is from RNAcentral.